This 408-nucleotide ribosomal RNA is filed under the name uncultured bacterium. RNAcentral's name for it is "partial 16S ribosomal RNA". It matches the Rfam family "Bacterial small subunit ribosomal RNA", at positions 28 to 526 of the family's 1533-position model. The record is from RNAcentral.
GACGAACGCUGGCGGCGUGCUUAACACAUGCAAGUCGAACGAAGUGGCGAACGGGUGAGUAACGCGUAAUCAACCUGCCCUUCAGAGGGGGACAACAGUUGGAACCGACUGCUAAUACCGCAUACUGAAGGAGGGGCUUGCGUCUGAUUAGCUAGUUGGAGGGGUAACGGCCCACCAAGGCGAUGAUCAGUAGCCGGUCUGAGAGGAUGAACGGCCACAUUGGGACUGAGACACGGCCCAAACUCCUACGGGAGGCAGCAGUGGGGGAUAUUGCACAAUGGGGGGAACCCUGAUGCAGCAACGCCGCGUGAGUGAUGACGGCCUUCGGGUUGUAAAGCUCUGUUAAUCGGGACGCGGUACCGGAAUAGAAAGCCACGGCUAACUACGUGCCAGCCGCCGCGGUAAUAC